AUCGAACAGGUGGAAGCAUCAACAAGUCAAGUGGCAGACCAGCAGAUGCCUGUAUAUAACCUUCCAUGGAAGAUCCUCUGCCGCGUUAUUAAUGUGCACUUAAAGGCCGAACCGGACACUGAUGAGGUAUUUGCACAAAUAACUUUGCUUCCAGAGGCUAAUCAAGAUGAGAAUGCUGUGGACAAGGAACCCCCACCUCCUCCCCCGCGGAGAUUUCAUGUGCAUUCCUUUUGCAAGACUCUGACUGCCUCUGACACCAGUACUCAUGGGGGGUUUUCAGUCUUGAGACGCCAUGCUGAUGAAUGUCUUCCACCACUGGACAUGUCACGACAGCCUCCUACUCAGGAGUUGGUUGCAAAGGAUUUGCAUGGAACAGAAUGGCGUUUUCGUCAUAUAUUUCGAGGGCAACCGCGUAGGCAUUUGCUUCAGAGUGGUUGGAGUGUUUUCGUGAGCUCAAAAAGACUGGUUGCAGGAGAUGCUUUUAUAUUCUUG
This 492-nucleotide unclassified non-coding RNA is filed under the name Hevea brasiliensis (rubber tree). The record is from RNAcentral. Lineage: Eukaryota; Viridiplantae; Streptophyta; Magnoliopsida; Malpighiales; Euphorbiaceae.